CUUUAUUGUUGCGGCCGCCAGC
This 22-nucleotide unclassified non-coding RNA is filed under the name Mus musculus (house mouse). RNAcentral's name for it is "oocyte_clustered_small_RNA4764". Lineage: Eukaryota; Metazoa; Chordata; Mammalia; Rodentia; Muridae. The record is from RNAcentral.